UACGUAGGGGGCUAGCGUUGUCCGGAAUCAUUGGGCGUAAAGCGCGUGUAGGCGGCUCGGUAAGUCCGCUGUGAAAGUCGGGGGCUCAACCCUCGGAUGCCGGUGGAUACUGUCGGGCUCGAGUACGGAAGAGGCGAGUGGAAUUCCUGGUGUAGCGGUGAAAUGCGCAGAUAUCAGGAGGAACACCAAUUGCGAAGGCAGCUCGCUGGGACGUUACUGACGCUGAGACGCGAAAGCGUGGGGAGCAAACAGG
Molecule: ribosomal RNA, 253 nt
Filed under: uncultured bacterium
Lineage: Bacteria
Description: partial 16S ribosomal RNA
Rfam family: Bacterial small subunit ribosomal RNA
Source: RNAcentral